AGCCAGCAAGGAAGGGGGUCCGUGUCGCCACUUUGUACGGACGACAUCAAGCGGUGCCCUUACACCCACGGAGGCGUCCACCCCUCAACGUCCCGCACUUCGACCGUCGCGGCGCGUGCGUGAGCUGCGCCACCAUUCGCACACAGAUGUCGGUGAAGUCCGGUCAGUUCAACUACGACGCCGUCGUGCGCGAAUCCCCGGCCGGCUUUACGAAGAUCACGGAGGGGACGACAGCAGUGCUGGAGCCGCCGACGAAGAAGGCAUGUACGUCUUCGGCUGCGCCUGCGCCGGCUUCGAAUCUCAGCAGCGAGGAGGCCGACAACCAGCUGGUGGGCCAGGCCGUCUUCUACAACCCGGCGCAAGUGGUAAACCGGGACUUAAGCAUCAGCGUUAUCGAGGUCUUCUCGCGACUGCGGCUGACAGAGCCGCGGCGCCGCGGUGGCACGAGGGAGGGGAUCACUAUCCUCGAGGCCCUCAGCGCCACGGGGCUGCGGGCGAUUCGCUACUACAAGGAGAUCACCAACGUGCGCUACAUCAUUGCCAACGAUAUGGACGCGGACGCAGUGGACUGCAUCGUGCGCAACUGCGCGUACAACGGGGUCCCGGUUCAGUACCCAACCUUGAUGGAGAACAUGCCGGCCGCCGCGAUUGAACUUUACCCAGGCGAGGCAGAGCCGGGGAAGGGUGAGUCGGCGACUGGUGCGUCGCCCAGAGUUGGGGUGCGCGCCGGCGGCGCCAUCUUGCCGAACCUUGACGACGCCAACGACCUCAUGUUCCGGCUGGCGAUGAACAGCAGCGCGCACCCAGGAAAGCGCGUCUGCCUCGUCGACGCACCCGCGGAGACAUCGGCGACGCCGUCGCUGCGUCCGCUGCUGCAGCAGGAGCUGAUGGAUGUCGUCGAUCUUGAUCCAUACGGCUCCGCGUCGCCCUUCCUCGACGGCGCCUUUCGCUGUAUCAAAGAGGGUGGGCUGAUGCUGGUGACGAGCACAGAUAGUGCCAUCCUGUGCGGCAACUUCGCUGACACCGCCCAUGCCAAGUACAGUUCGAUGCCCUACAAGGCCGCCCACUGUCACGAGGCCGCGGUGCGCACGCUGCUCGCCUGCGUCGAGCGGGUGGCCAACCGGCACCAGAAAUUCAUUGUGCCGCUGCUGUCACUCCACAUCGACUUCUAUGUGCGCUGCUUCUUUCGCGUCUACAAGCAGCCGGCCGAGACGAAGCUCAGCGCCUGCAAGCUCGGGUACCAGCUGCAGUGCUCGAGCUGCUCAGCAUUCUGGGUGCGGCCGAUGGCGACGGCGCGGCAGCCCCGGCCGUCGCGGCAGGAGCGCCGCCGGCAGCAGCGCGAGGCAAGCGAACAGCAGCGGCGCGCUCGCGCAGGACGCGCCAACAGCGACGCAGAUGAGGAGAAGGCAAGCAAGACAGCCGAAGGCGCGGCGGAGGCCUCGCGUGCGCAUACUCGUCUGCGUCGACUCUCGAAGCGCGAGCGGGACGGCAACGACGAUGACGAGGCGGUGGCACACAACGUUGACGGUGUUCGCACGGAGGUGUACCCCGCCUCGCCGAGUCGUCAUAGCCAUCCCAAGAUCACACCGCUCACACUACGGCAGAUGUCGAGCGCCGCCUCCGCGACGUCGACAACAGCCGCAACGGCGUGUCCGGUGUGCGGCAGCAGCAUCGUUCUCUCUGGGCCCCUCUAUGCAGCCCCCACGCAGAAUUGUGAGUUUCUCGAGCAGCUGCUCGCGCUGCUCCAGGAGCGCGCCAGCGAGGGGCGACUGAACGCGGAGGCUCGCAUCACCGGCCUGGUCCGCAUCGCCCUCGAAGAGCUGCCAGACUGCCCUCUCUUCUACUUGCUGCCCGACGUCGCGUCCUACGUGAGGGUGUGCUGCCCGCCAACGCCGUGCAUUGUCGGUGCACUGGCGCGGCUUGGGUACCGCUGCAGCCAGGUGCACUGUGCCGCCGCAGGACUCAAGACGGACUGCCCGCCGGAGGUACUGUUCCGAGUGAUGCUGCAGUGGAAGAUGGUGCAAGACACGCUGGAUCCAGUCAGCAAAGCAGCGAUCGAGGACGGCGCUGACAAGAGCAAGGAGAAGAAGGCCCCGGCAGCGUCCACCGCACCUCGGUCGCUGUUGGUGACGCCACUGGCGGAGGCGGACUUCACGUACGACAAGGCACACGACUUUCGCGGUCGCGUCAUUGGUGUGGCCAAGUUCGUGCCGAACGCGCCGGGUUGGGGGCCGCGCCGGCGUCACCAAGGGGCAGCAGUGGUGCCCGAAGCGGUGGAAUGCGGCAACGGUGAAGACAACGACGGAGGCAGCGGAGAGGCGUGAAGGCGCCGAUCUCAAAUUGUUGUUUUAUAGAGGGGCAACAUGAGGGCCCUUAUCAUGGACCCUUCACCUCGCACGAGCGAACCGGGGAGGGGGCGUUGUGCGCACGCGAUGACAGCGACCAGGACGUUCGGUGGAGGUAGGGCCAGGCUUGCGGUGGCGCGACGAGACUGCCCUGCUCCCUCCGCCGGUCUCGCGAAGGCGCAGACCGCACGUGGGCCGCGCCCACACGCCCGCGCUCACAGAGGACGGCGUGACCACGGUUAACAUAUAUAUAUAUAUAUAUAUCGGUAUAGUUAUAUAUGAGGCAGCAGCCGUGAGCUGAAAUGCGCAUUAAACACUUUAGCGGGGAGACUAC
RNAcentral lists this unclassified non-coding RNA (2679 nucleotides) under Leishmania donovani. RNAcentral's name for it is "gene:LdHU3.13.1040(CDS-product:N(2)_N(2)-dimethyl guanosine_tRNA_methyltransferase_putative)". Lineage: Eukaryota; Euglenozoa; Kinetoplastea; Trypanosomatida; Trypanosomatidae. The record is from RNAcentral.